ACAAAGGCGUUUUUCAAAGCCAUCCUCAUAAAUUCUAGCUGGUUAU
Non-coding RNA from Ornithorhynchus anatinus (platypus), 46 nucleotides. The record is from Rfam. NCBI's taxonomy places the organism in Eukaryota, Metazoa, Chordata, Mammalia, Monotremata, Ornithorhynchidae.